RNAcentral lists this ribosomal RNA (253 nucleotides) under uncultured bacterium. RNAcentral describes it as "partial 16S ribosomal RNA". It matches the Rfam family "Bacterial small subunit ribosomal RNA", at positions 524 to 776 of the family's 1533-position model. The record is from RNAcentral.
UACGGGGGGGGCAAGCGUUGUUCGGAAUUACUGGGCGUAAAGGGCUCGUAGGUGGCCAACUAAGUCAGACGUGAAAUCCCCAGGCUCAACUUGGGAACUGCGUCUGAUACUGGAUGGCUUGAAUUCGGGAGAGGGAUGCAGAAUUCCAGGUGUAGCGGUGAAAUGCGUAGAUAUCUGGAGGAAUACCGGUGGCGAAGGCGGCAUCCUGGACCGAGAUUGACACUGAUGAGCGAAAGCUAGGGGAGCAAACGGG